GAGCCGUUAGCUCAGUUGGUAGAGCACCGGACUUUUAAUCCGGGUGUCGCGGGUUCAAGUCCCGCACGGCUCACCA
RNAcentral lists this transfer RNA (76 nucleotides) under Fretibacterium sp. Its description in RNAcentral is "tRNA-Lys". It matches the Rfam family "tRNA". Rfam says of the family: Transfer RNA (tRNA) molecules are approximately 80 nucleotides in length. Their secondary structure includes four short double-helical elements and three loops (D, anti-codon, and T loops). Lineage: Bacteria; Thermotogati; Synergistota; Synergistia; Synergistales; Aminobacteriaceae. The record is from RNAcentral.